Molecule: ribosomal RNA, 253 nt
Filed under: uncultured bacterium
Lineage: Bacteria
Description: partial 16S ribosomal RNA
Rfam family: Bacterial small subunit ribosomal RNA
Source: RNAcentral
UACGUAGGGUGCGAGCGUUGUCCGGAAUUAUUGGGCGUAAAGCGCACGUAGUCGGCUUUGCAAGUCGGGUGUGAAAUCCCCGGGCUCAACCUGGGAACUGCAUCCGAGACUGCAUUGCUAGAGUAUGGGAGAGGGAAGCGGAAUUUCUGGUGUAGCAGUGAAAUGCGUAGAUAUCAGAAGGAACAUCAGUGGCGAAGGCGGCUUCCUGGACCAAUACUGACGAUCAGGUGCGAAAGCGUGGGGAGCAAACAGG